CCUGUCCUUAGAGACAGGCAUUGCAGAUGUGGCUGCCCUGACACCUGUGUGUCAUUAGGUGACUGAGAGGAGAGAGGAUGCCCAUGUUCCAUGUUCUUAUCUAUGAAUAUCUGAACAAUUAGUAGAGUAACAUU
Molecule: small nucleolar RNA, 134 nt
Organism: Mastomys coucha (southern multimammate mouse)
Lineage: Eukaryota; Metazoa; Chordata; Mammalia; Rodentia; Muridae
Product: small nucleolar RNA SNORA17
Exons: 1
Source: RefSeq, a predicted model, not a curated record